AUCGUGCAAGGAAUAUCGAUCAAAGCUCAAGUGUUCAAGGGAACUACUAGUGAAACCUGGGGAAAUGCUACCGGAGCAUGAUGUUCGACCAAAGAGAAGGAAAAGCGCCGCACAGCUCAUUAGCUGCACCAAGACUGCGCAGGGAGGGAGAUGGCAGUUCACUAACUGCGCUGAUGCAGUAUGCUGAUGCAACGCAGGAACUCUACAUUAUCUCAGCGCAGAAUAUAAUAGUCGUGUCCAACACAGAAUCCCUCAGCAGUCUCCAGUGCAGAAUG
RNAcentral lists this long non-coding RNA (275 nucleotides) under Salvia miltiorrhiza (redroot sage). RNAcentral's name for it is "long non-coding RNA (SMIL_LNC012765)". Lineage: Eukaryota; Viridiplantae; Streptophyta; Magnoliopsida; Lamiales; Lamiaceae. The record is from RNAcentral.